UUUUAUGGAGAGUUUGAUCCUGGCUCAGGAUGAACGCUGGCGGCGUGCCUAAUACAUGCAAGUCGAGCGAACAGAUAAGGAGCUUGCUCCUUUGACGUUAGCGGCGGACGGGUGAGUAACACGUGGGUAACCUACCUAUAAGACUGGAAUAACUCCGGGAAACCGGGGCUAAUGCCGGAUAACA
This 184-nucleotide ribosomal RNA is filed under the name Staphylococcus cohnii. RNAcentral describes it as "partial 16S ribosomal RNA". It matches the Rfam family "Bacterial small subunit ribosomal RNA", at positions 1 to 178 of the family's 1533-position model. Lineage: Bacteria; Bacillati; Bacillota; Bacilli; Caryophanales; Staphylococcaceae. The record is from RNAcentral.